RNAcentral lists this long non-coding RNA (358 nucleotides) under Equus asinus (donkey). Its description in RNAcentral is "lncRNA (ENSEASG00005025080.1)". The record is from RNAcentral. Lineage: Eukaryota; Metazoa; Chordata; Mammalia; Perissodactyla; Equidae.
CUGAGACUCUGGUCGCUCGUGCAGAACUCCAGAACAACCCAGGGGAGGUUUCUGCUGCACCCGCUGGGUGCUCUGUGGGUCUCCCACCGGGAUUGCAGCGUGCCUGAACUGAAGCUCUUUGCCAUUGAAUUCCCUUACCAUCUCCUUGGUUCAUGGACUUGGCACUUUGAGAUCAGUUUACCCGGGGAACCAAGCGAUCACGCUGCGCGAGGUUCCACCAUGCCUUCCUUCACGGCGCUGUCUGCGGGGUGGGUGUCGAGCAGCAUAACGGUAAAGGCUGGCCAGGAUUGUCAAGAGCAGUCGGGAACCUGGGAGGAGACUGAAGUAGUUGGUCUUGCUGCUCAUUUUCUCUGGCCAG